AACGCCGUUGCGGGAGAGAGCGGGCCGAAAGCCCGCCGCCGAAGGAGCAACCGCCCCCGGAAACUCUCAGGCACCCGGAACCGCGACGGUCAG
Molecule: non-coding RNA, 93 nt
Filed under: uncultured Alphaproteobacteria bacterium
Lineage: Bacteria; Pseudomonadati; Pseudomonadota; Alphaproteobacteria
Description: Glycine
Rfam family: Glycine riboswitch aptamer
About the family: This family represents the bacterial glycine riboswitch. Glycine riboswitches usually consist of two metabolite-binding aptamers domains with similar structures in tandem.
Source: RNAcentral